RNAcentral lists this long non-coding RNA (1435 nucleotides) under Gossypium barbadense (sea-island cotton). RNAcentral describes it as "long non-coding RNA (GBAR_LNC009636)". Lineage: Eukaryota; Viridiplantae; Streptophyta; Magnoliopsida; Malvales; Malvaceae. The record is from RNAcentral.
CGCUGAAGCACAAUUGACAAUCAAUCCAAAUCAACCACAAUAACAUAAAACAUCAACAAUCAAUCCAAAUCAACCACAAUAUCACAAGCAAAAAUAAUAAAAUCAAUACACAUAAUUUUUACGUGGAAAACCCCUUUCAAGCAAAGGGUCCACGAGACUUGAAAGUCCACAAAAAUUUCCACUAUAAUCAAAGUCUUGCUACAAUAUCACAAUCAAGCCACAAUAAAGAAUAUACAACUCAAACAAGGCUAUCAACAAAUACUUUCAAGCAAACUUUAAGAGAAAAAAUUGAGAAUAUGACCAAGAGGGGCUGACUUUGAAAACUAAAAACUCAAAGCUAUUGCAUAGAAAAUCCCACUUUACACAAUUGAGAUCCCCAAGUCUACUAACCAGUAAGAAUUAUCAUCCUUUUAUCCUCUUUGAUAUCACAUAUUAAAAGAAAAACCAUGAUUAUUCCCUUAUUACUAGAUAAGUCAAAUGGAAAGUUAGAAAAAUAAAUUAUUUCUUUCCAAAAGAAUAUUAAUUUAAAUGUCUUUUAUAUUUUGACGAAAAUUAAUUAAUAUAAUUGUUUAUAUUAAUAAAUUCGGUAAAAUAUAUACAAUUAAUAUCUUGUAUAAAUCAAAUUCAUAUAUUCAUUAUAUUCUUUCCAAAAGAAUAUUAAUUUUAAUGUCUUUUAUAUUUUUACCAAAAUUAAUUAAUUAUUUAUAUUUGUUGUAGGCCAAUUUUGGCCCGUUUACAAAAUACCCAGGCCCAUUAAACCAUUUAACCCAUCCUCAAACCCAAAACCUAAAAUUAACCUAGCCCAACAUCCAAGCCUAAUCCCAAAACCCUAAACUCCCACUUGCCUCUUCCCACUCUCCCAUGCUGCCUGCCACCAGCACCACUCCCACUCUCCCAUGCUGUCUGCCACCAGCACCAUCACACACCCCACCGUCCAUGCCCAUGCCCUGAAAACAAGCAAAAAAGAAGCAAGAAUAGAAAAUAAUAAUAAAGUAUGUAAAAAUUAGGCCAUAUAAAAGCCACCCAAACAACAAACGAAAAAGGAGGAGGAUGUACAAAAAGUUUGUAUCAAAAACAAAAGAAAAAAGAAAAGCUUAGAAGGUGAACUUCAAUUUUUUUCCUCUGUUAUCUCAAUCUUUCUGUUUAUCUUUGCUUUGUUUUAUUUUUUUUUUCAUUAACUUACUUUAAAACGAAAAAGAAUCAAGGAAGAAAAGAGUCUUACCGGAUCUACCCCGUGGCCGCUCCCCUCUCCGUUCGGCACGGUGAACCGCCGGCGAUGAUGGGUGUUGAAACCUUAACUGAAGAAAGGAGGAAGAGAUAAAAAGGGGGGUUUGAGAGCAGUUUUUCAGAAAAAAAUAUAUAAAGGUUAAAUGGUUUUAAAAUAAAAAAUUGAAAAGUCAAAAGGAAACGGCGCCACUAACUAUGAUUUGUAUGU